RNAcentral lists this ribosomal RNA (445 nucleotides) under uncultured bacterium. RNAcentral describes it as "partial 16S ribosomal RNA". It matches the Rfam family "Bacterial small subunit ribosomal RNA", at positions 354 to 796 of the family's 1533-position model. The record is from RNAcentral.
GUGAGGAAUAUUGCGCAAUGGAGGCAACUCUGACGCAGCCAUGCCGCGUGCAGGAAGAAGGCGCUACGCGUUGUAAACUGCUUUUAACCGGGAAGAAACCCCAGGACGUGUCCUGGGUUGACGGUACCGGAGGAAUAAGCACCGGCUAACUUCGUGCCAGCAGCCGCGGUAAUACGAAGGGUGCAAGCGUUAGCCGGAUUCAUUGGGUUUAAAGGGUGCGUAGGCGGAGCGUUAAGUCAGUGGUGAAAUCCUGCAGCUUAACUGUAGACUUGCCAUUGAUACUGGCGCUCUUGAGUGCGCUUGAAGUGGGCGGAAUGUGCCGUGUAGCGGUGAAAUGCUUAGAUAUGGCACAGAACACCAAUUGCGAAGGCAGCUCACUAAGGCGAUACUGACGCUGAGGCACGAAAGCGUGGGGAUCGAACAGGAUUAGAAACCCGAGUAGUCC